Molecule: long non-coding RNA, 12313 nt
Filed under: Equus caballus (horse)
Lineage: Eukaryota; Metazoa; Chordata; Mammalia; Perissodactyla; Equidae
Description: lncRNA (ENSECAG00000036269.2)
Rfam family: let-7 microRNA precursor family (bases 10608-10693)
Source: RNAcentral
CUGCGGAGCGGUGCCCCCUGCCCCGCACGGGCAGGCGGGAGGGGCCGCGGGCCGGGGGCGCGCGGACGGGGAGCGCCCGGGGCGGCAUGCCCGCGGGGGCGCGCACGCGGGGCUGCGGGACGAGGCGCGGGGCCCGGGCGGCGAAUCCGCUGCUCGCCCCGCCCGCCCCGCCCGCGCGCGCCGGCCCGAAGAGGAGGGUGCGCGGCGGAGGGGGGAAGCGGGAAGGGGCCGCGCCCCGUCCUCGCCCGUAGCGGGCAUGGCCGGGGGCCCCGGGAGGCCUCGUUGGUAUUCUGGGCACAGCCAAAGUGUUGACCUCCCCUCGGAACAGGGGCGCCAGGGUGCGCGGGCACGGCCACCACCCCCGGGCGGUCUCCCGGAGCUGCGGGGCCCAGAGGCGCCUUGCUCCCCCCACCGUCCCCUCCUCUCCGGGUCUCCCGUACCCCCUCCCCUGCCUCGAUCCGGCGGCGAAGGGGUGGGCAGGGAAACGCGCUCUCUGGGACAGGUGCCAACUCCGAGACAAAAGACAUAAAAUAGGCGGCAACGGGGGAAGCGCGGCCGGCGCGCUCGGGCGGGGACGGAGGCGCCGCGGGGGCCGCAUCCUCGGUGCCGACCGGGGAAAGUUUGGGAACUCGCCGCAGCGGCUUCGCAGCGGCGGGGGACGCUCGGGCCGGGCCGCCCUCCGCGCCGCGCUCACCCUCUCCGCGCCGCUGCUGAAUAAUUCAUGGCGCGGCCGCCGGCCAUUAGCAUGCACCGGGCGCGCGGCGCGUCUGUGCCAAGCCGCCGCCGCCGCAUUCGGCGCCCGGGCCGCGCCAGACGAGCGGCCGCGCGGAGGCCGGGCCCGCGCUGUCCCCGCGGUCGCCCGGCGGCGCCCAUUGUGCCCUCGGCCCGCGCCGCCCGGCCGCCCCGAGCCCGGCCGCAACCCGCAGCGCGCCCGACGGCCCGGCGCUGCAAGUUGGGGCCCGCGGCGCCGGCCCGCCCGCCCCGGGAUGCACGUGAACUUGGAGAAAGUCGCGGGGCGCGCCGGCCCGGACCUCCGCGGCAGGGCGUGGGCGUCCCCCGCCAGGCGCGCUUUCGUUUUCGUCCGGGACAAAGGUCCUCGCGGCGCUGGUCGCAGACACGGAGACCAGGUACUGCGGGCCACUCUUCGUUGAGGUCCGGUCGUUCAAUCCAGGAAAGCCGGAGCCGGGAGAAAGAGGAGCGGCGCGAUGCGGGACCGGGGAAGUGGGGCCUGGCCGUGCGCUUCGCCGGCGCUGCCCCGGAGCCGUCCCCGCUGCGGAGAGUUGCGGGAGAUGGCAUCGCUCUGCUCUCUGCCGUUUCGGCGCCUGAAGGAGGGAAGCAUUUGGAACCCAGGACUCAGACCGAUGACCCAGGGCCUUUGCAGCCGCGGGCACGGCAGCCUAGCGCCGGCUGCUUCCGAGCGCGUUCCUCCAGCAAGGGCACGGCUGUCGACCUGCGCGCCCCGGGUCGCGAUCGGGUUCAAGGCGACUCCUGAGAACGGGCCAGCCCCAGGAUGGCCCCUCGCCUGCACUUCGCCAUGCCUGGCCUCUGGCCACUACGAGGCCCGAGAACUUCCUGAGUGACGGGGCUCCAGCUGCUGGCAGGGGCUGGCUGCUCAGCAUGGGCAGUGUGUGGUGAUGAGGCCUCCACUCUGGCGGGUCCCGGAGCAUGCUGCCUGAACUGGUGCGGACAGCACUCUGCUCAGUGGAAACAGCAGGAAGCUUUCCACUGGGGUGACUUUUGGUCCGUGUGCUUUGCACCUGACUGGGGCCAACUCUCUAUGAACCAGUCUCACUUGCUCCCAUCCUCAGCAGGGUGCUGGGGCCUGUCCUGCCCUGGCGUGGACUGGGCCUGACUGGAAGACAGCCCGUGGGGCCGAGGGAGGGACCAGGGACUUUGUCCGCCCUGAUGGGCACCUUGCCUGGAUGGGUGCUCUCUUGUACUCAGGGAAAUCCCUUGCGAGGCACCGAUGUGUGCUCCCACUGAGGCCCUUCCAUGCCAGGCAGGAAACCAUCUUAAAACCACCAGCCUUGGUGGUGGUUGUUGGGCUUGGAAGGGUGUAUUUGCAUAUUUGGGGAGAAGGGAGAAUACUCGUGCAGAAGUCCCAUUAAGCUGGAGUGUCCCAGCUCACAUCCGGGCAGCUGCGGUCCAGCCCCUGCCCCUGGCUCACCGUGUGACCCUGGACAAGUCACAUCACCUUCCUGGGCCUGUACCCUGAGCUCAGGAGCAGGAGGGUCGUUGGGAGGGUUCAGAUGACAUUAUUUCCACAAAGCACAGUUCCUGGCACGUGGCAGGGACGCGGUAAAUGGCUGCUGCUGCUUGUUAUCGUUGUAAAUGGUAAUCGCCAUUUUUAUUGCUAGUUACUAUAUUUUUGAGUUUCUAGGGAACAGAAAGCCCAGUUUUGGUUGCACCAGAAAAGACACCUGGAAGUUUCCUCCCCCUCCCCCCGCCAGGUGGUAGUGCAAGUGCACCUUGAGGAUAUUUUCUUCAAGGUAGACUGUCAGGAGCCUGCAGAGGGGGCUUUCCUUGUCAGGGGGACUUGGCCUGGAAGCACUGGGUACACUGGAUGGGACCAGGCCCCUGGAGUCCUCCCAAGAGGUCCCCUGAUGCCCCUCGCAAGAAUGGCACUUGAAGAGCUCACCUGGGUGCUGGCCCCGGGGCUCAGACCCCGAAAGAUGAGGGCAAGACAUCCUGACUGCGAGGUCCGGAGGGGCCAUGCCAGCCACCAGCAUCCUUGCUGGCAACAUGGGUGGCAGUUCCGUGGGAGGGUUUCACCAUUCUGAUGGGCUAAUUGUUCCUUAGCCUGAUACAAGCCUACGUUUACCAAAAUGCUGGCUUUGGGAGAAUUUUAUCUCUUAGCUGAUCGUUCAGGAAGACCCAGCAAGAUGGCCCUUUCUCAAAACAUCUUGUUGGAACAAGAAAGAACCAUAAAUGGCAUCAGCCAUGCUUUUCUGAUGUUAUGCGGCCGAGGAGGGAGAAAAAGUAACAAUUGUCUCCGAGUGAAGACAAUGGACCUUUUAUAUGAAAUAUUUAUUUUCAGGGCCAACCAGUGUCCCGUUGGCUGGGACAGUGGAGCUCGAGUGUCUGGGUGUUGCGGGCCCUGAGAACUCAGGGACGAGAUUUACAGAAAAGGAAGAAAGAAAGUCCCCACCCGUGGUUCUUGGGAAACUUCAGUGGGAACGGCUGGCUUUCUUUAUCAAGUGGAAUUUAAACUUCCACGAGUUUCUUUUUUCUUCUGUGAUUUCUUUUGAAAGACCCGCAGGGGCACAUUCGCAGCCCCGGAAAGAUAGCUGGGUUUUGGCUCUUGGGCUGGAUGGCUCCCUCGGGCCAGGCCCUGUUGGCCUUUGUCUGCUGGGGGGUGGCAGAGUGCAAGUGAGAAAAACAGGACUGGAAGAGGAAGGGUCUGUCCCUGAGGGUUGGGGGGAGCCCGCCGAGUGCGAUUUGGGACAGUAUUUGUGGUUCUCCGGUGUCCUUUACUCCUCCCCAAAUCCCGUUCUGUGAUGAACUCAGGAGCGGCCUGCAGGUUAUUGGAGUCUGGCCUGACUUGGCAGAGCCACACACAGACCCUCAAACACUGUCCCCAGCUGGAGAGGGUAUGUUUGUAACUCUUGGAUGGAUGUUUUCUGAAUUAAUAGAAUGAACAGAAUUUCACUGAGGCCUACCCAUGAGCCACCUCCCUCUUGCCUUCGCGGCUGCCGGGAUGGUGCUGGAGCAGCUGGACUCGGUUCCUGCUAAAUUCACAGUCUCAGUGUAGCCGGGAAGGCGCCCUGGGAAGCGAGGCUCAUGUUAGGGACCCGAGGAGGAAUUGAUGGGGCUGGGGCUUGUGAGGAGAGUGUCAGGGAGCGGGUCUUCCCAGCAUUUGGGGCACAAUGGGAAGGCCUGGGACAGUUGGCCCAGGACCCUGGCCAACUUAGGGGGUCCUCAGUCUGGAUGCCCCUACAAAGCGGAUGGAGGACAGAAGGAGUCGCCCGGAUCAGGGUGUGGGGGGCCCUCCCUUCCAUGCGUCCCCUAACCCAAAGACUUUGUUGGCAAAUAAUAUAUUUGGCUUCAAAAAGGAGGUUUUGUUUUUUAAAGCUGCUGUCACCUAUAUUUAUUUUUUAAUCCUGGAAGCUGUUGACUGUGAUCUCUUUCACCUUCUGCGUUAACCUGCCCCCAAAAAUGCUAUGACGAGAGCUCUCUCUCGGGGGUGACCACAACAGAGCCUCUGAGGCCAUGAGUAGAAUUGUAAAAAUGGGAGUGGAAAAGACUGAAAUUUCGUGACCUGGGUCAGAAAAACCCUAACACACAGGCUUUUAUUCACUUUUGGGGAGGAAGGGUUCAAAGUAAAAUGCUGCCCGGUCUUCUUGCGAAAUUUUGGGUGGGAAGCUUGUUUGAGUCGGGGUCCGGGAGCCCUGCCUUUCGGGAGGGCUCAGAAACCCGCGUGGAUGGAUGAACGGAGCGUCUCGACAGCCGGUGGGGGCCGCUGCUCAGUUAGUGGCUGAGGGAUUUUCGGAGUGGAGAUGUGACCAGCGGAGGCCACGCUGAUUGUCGUCAAAUGAGACUGGUGGUUGUGGUUAGGAAAAUGUGUGCUGUGCAUGGGAUGUCCAAAGUAAAAGGCCAAUUUUUUUUUUUUAAGGGAGUAAUAGAAUUUUCUCUCAAGAUUAAAACAAGAACGUCAUCCCUGAUGCCUUUGGUUUCCAGUGCCGGGGCUGGGUUUUUCUGUGAAAUGCCUUCCUUUACGUCUUGGCUUUCCGAUGGCAGAAAGAGCCUCUAGCUGAAAUAUUUACCUGCUGAUUUGGGGCUCUUAAAUCUAGAUUUGCCUUUCAUGUGUUGAAGAGCGAUAUUUACAUUCAAAUCAGCCUUUUAUAAUUACAUUUUAAAUUAUAAUAAAACGAUGGUGGGGGGGGCGGCUUCAGUCUUCCAUGUGUUUAACAGGGAAAGUCGCUGGGCGAAUGGCGUGUGGCUUGCACAUCCCAUCGCCAGACCUGCCCAGGCUCAGAGCAGGUGCCUGAAGUACAGAUUCUGGCCUGCAGGGUCACACGUGUGUCCUGAGCAUGUCAGGGUCCGUGGAUGUCGCCUGUGGAGCCCUCCCCGAUCUGCCUGGAGAAGAGUUUGUGGAUGGGGAUUCUGGCCCCAGCACAGUGGGGACGCUGCCAAACCUCAUGGCAUGCAGUUCCAGCCUGAUUCGGGCCUGGCUGCCCUGCCGCCCUGGCUGAUAUGUUGUGUCCUGAGCUUCACGCUGGCCCGCAGGCCUCGGGGUGGAGGCCAUUAUCUCCUAGGUGGCCAGCUGGGCACAGCAGCGGCCACUCCUGGUCGUGGCGAUACUGUGUGUGUGUUGGGGUGGGGAGUGCCCACCUCCUCCUGCAGCCGUAACCCAGGUUGUGCCUUCUCUCUCCUGUCAGGGCCGGCCCCAAAAUGGCCACCCAGUUUUCAGGGGCUUCCCUCGUGGAGUAUGGGGGGACCCUGUCCUCCCGGGGCCAGGCUGCUGGCAGCCGUGCCAAGCCCUUUCUGGAAUGGAAUUCCCAGCGUUCCUGGUCGGGCGCAUGGCAUCGGAAUCCUACCUGCUUUGUCUCUGGCAUCAGCUGGCGACUGGUCACGUGGCCUUGUGCAUAAGACCAGAGCCCGAGGACCAGAGGGCUCCUCCUGGCUGCUUCCUCCUCAUUCACUCGGUCCCCCCCUCCUUUCGCUUUGGGCAUGACAGUCUCUGAGCAGGCAUAAAGCAAUAUUAAAAUAAAAUGUACUCGAGGCCGCUGGGGAACUCCCAUCCCCAGAUGCCGAGGUGUCCAGGCCGCCGCUUACCUCCAGUCGUUACCAACAGAAAGGCCCGGAGCUGGGGUGUAAACUUACACAGCGGCCCAGCCACGGUCACUCGGUCACUCGUGCUGUCCCCUCCAGUUCAGCACGGAGCUGGCCCUGCCUGCCUGGGAGCCCCUUCCCACACUUGCAGCCUCGCGGCUCACCCUGCACAGGGAUAGCCUGGCGGUCGUUGCCUCAGCUCCUGGCCGCAUAAAAAGGCUGGAGGAGAGACUUGGGCAAACAGGUUGGCCACGCAGACCUGGCCUGCUGCCCGCAGGAGAGGGCAGCUGAGUCUGCCAAAUCUCCGAAUGAAAGUGCCCACAUUUAAACCAAGCCCACUGACCCGGGUCAGAGGGCCGAGCGUGGGCAUGGGUCACCUCUCCCCUUGGUGGUAAGGAUUGGCUUUGGUGAAACUGAAGGAUUUGUGGUGGUCUGAGAGGGAUAUGGUGACGUGCCUGGACUCUGGACCCCUCGUGACUGCUUGGCCACCUUUUGGCCCCUGUCUGCAUGGUGGCCGUGUCCUGAGUGCCGAUGACGUACCACGUGCCAUGCUCAGCACUCCGCUUGCAGUUUUGUCAUCAAAGCAGCCCUGAGUGGCAGGAGCCAUUAUCCCUAUUCUUUUUACAGAUGGGGAAACUGAGGCUGGGAGAGGCAGCGUGGCUUGCCCUGGGUUAGGUGGCCAGUUGGGCACAAGGCCAGAUUCAAACCUGUGACCACGGCCUCAGCUGCAACCGAACAGCCUCCCAGGGCCUUGGCUAGAAUGGGCUCCCUCCAAGGGCCGGCCAGGGAGCUGUUGGGGUGGGGGCUCUCGGCCUGGCCCGGGGAGCACAGCCGGGGUGCCGGCCGCCGCCUGCUCCUCUGCAGGGCCCGGCAUGGGAACAAUGCGGCCUCUAUCCCGGGAGUGAGCCCAGGCCGCCUGGACUCCCGGAGCAGCCGGCCAGGCCGCCUGCCCGCAACAUGGCGCCCGGGGCCGCGCCACCCGUCCACGGGGAGGGCUGGCGCCUGGGCCGGGCCUGGGCCAGCCGGCUCCCGGCGUCCCCCUCGGGCUGGCCGCUGAGUGGCCAGACGCUCCUGCUUCCUCCUCCCUCUCCCGCCUGGCCAGCCCCCCCUUCCUGCUGGUGGGUUUGGGGGUCCGGCCCACCCGCCUCUGCCACGUCUGCCAUCCUCCCGGCACCCAUGAGCAUCUUUCAAAAAUUCCCGGUGGGCGGGGCCGAGCCGCAGCGGCCGCCUCUGGCCCCCCCUCCCCGGGCAGCCAGUGCCAGAUGAGAGCAGGAGACAAAAGUAGCAUUUUCCUCGUCCUCCUGGGCUGGCAGCAGGGCCUCCCCCAGCGCCACUUGGCUCCUGGCAGCCCUGCCCCCGGGUGCCGUGGUGGCCGAGGCCCAGGCCGCACCGGCUAGGACCAAGGGACCGAUGGACGACGGUGGCCAGAGACCAGGAGGCCUGAGGGCCUGUCGGUCGGGGGCUGGCACCUGGAGACAGCCUGCUGGCCGGCAGGACCUGUCCUCCUCUGCCUGCCUCUGUGACCGGCAGGCAAGGGGACACCAUCUUCACCUCCUUGCUUUUGAGAACGCCCCUCGUCCUCCUGCGCCUUGGAACGUGGCUCCUCCCAGGGCACCCCCAAGAAAGUGGGCACCCAUCAUGGCCUUUGGAAGAUGCUCCGGGACUGCACCAGGUCUCACCCCUUCUUUCCAGCUGCUUCAUUCCCUGCGUGACACCGGAAGCUCGGACAACAGUGCCAGCUCAGGUCAAAAAGUGGUGGCGAGACAGGAGCUGCUGACCUCGGCCGAGCUUCCUCACCGUUCCCUCUGGCCUUCGCCGUCGACUGGGCAUGGCCUGAAGCAGCCACGGUCCACUGCCGGGUGUCUGCAUGGAAGAGGAGCGCUCAGCCUCAUCUCUCUGCAAUGCCGUGAACCAGCCCUCGAGGGUGUGAUUAAUACACACAGGCCGCCUGCCAUCCACCUGAGAUGCCACACAGGUGAAUCUAACCUGGAACAAGAAGAAAGGCCACAUGAGGGAAACUGAGUCACAUCUUCUCCUAGACUAGGGCACGGGGCGGGGCUUGUGGUGGCAGCCAGGAUGUGUGUCUCUUCCUGUGUGCCCCUCUCUCCCUGCCUCUCCCAACCCUGUGGAGCCCCGCCCGUGGGCUGGCCCAUCGCGUAGUCCCUGCCUCCCAGCUGGGGCUGGGGCCCUCCGGGGUCAGCACUGCAGGCUCUGGAGCUGAAGCCCAGGCCCAGGGGUGGGCAAGUGGGUCCAGGCCGCAGGGCAGGGGCUAUUGGAGUCCGCCUGGCACACACCCGUGGGUUCCAGCUCUGAUGUUAGUUAGGGUGGCCUGGCUGCUGCCCGGAUCCCCCCAGCUGGCUCUGCCUGGAGCAUCCUUGGGGAUGCCCUGGUCCCACCGCAGCCAAGGAGUCCGGGUAGAGGCAGGGGACUGGAAGUCGAGACACUCUCAUGCAGAUUUCUUUCUGGGGCCUUGAGGGAGCACAGGGGUCUGUGCUCACAGGCCGACCAGGUCCUGGGUUGGGGCUUCAGGCUGUGCUGGGACGUUCCUGGUCCCCCCUCCCAGGUGACUGCGCCUCAGUCUCCCAUUCUGGGUAGGCUGUGCCACGCAUGGGCGCUGAUGCUAUGGUCCCUGGUUGGGGUUCGUGGGACUUAGUCCCGCCCCUUGUGGGCAGGGCACACGCCUGCACAGGGUGUUGUCAGCACAGCGCCUGACACCCAGGGGUUCGGGGGCAGCAGCUGCUUGCUGCUUGGGCCUGAGCACGAGACCUCCCUCUGCAGCCAUGGGCAAGGCCAAGCCUGGGAGAGCCUGAGAGGGAGCCCUCUGCUGACCUGGGGUCAGGGACCCUGCCCAUCUGAGCCUCAGUUUCCUCACCGAGAAAUGGGAUUGGUGAUCCUGGCCUUACCAGGCCUGUGAGGACCAAAUGGCACGGCCCAGCCUGGUGCCUGCCUGGAGGAGGCAGCCUGCUAGGAAGGGAUGUGGAAGGAGGUUUGAAGUUUCAGAGCUCAGAGCUCUCUUUGCACUUGACUAGGCAGAAAUCAGAACGUUCGGAGCUCUGCUCUGAUGCCAACGGCUGCGUGAACUUCAUGUCGCCUCUCUGGGUGGGCCUCAGUCUCAUCACCUGUGAGAUGGGUGGACAGUAGUCCUUGCCUCAUCGGCUUCACAGGGUUCCCCAGGAAGGUGGUGGCCAUGCCGGUGGCUGUUGUGGAUGUUUAUCGAGGCUGCCUCUGGGCCUGUGUGUCCCUCGAGGGUCCAGUUCUGGCCCAGCCACUCCCCUGGGAGCCAGGUUCCCUUUAGAAGAAAAGAACAGCAUCCAGAGGCCUCUUGCAAAGUGGGGGCGGCUCAGGUCACCCUAGAUGCAGGACCAGAUCAGCAGAGCCUGCGGGGAGGGAGUCGCACCUGUCCCGGGGGUGGAGGGAGCAGGCCCGCAGAUCACAGGGGCAUCUGGUGUGGCCAGGAGCCGGAGGCUGGGCUGUUGGUCGGAGGGUGGGCAGCCAUGUAGACACUCACGGCACCUUUCUGACACAUGGCCUCUAACAAUUGACAACCUUCCUCCCAGUGUCACUAAUGCAGAAGUCCCUUGGGGACAUGGUGACCACUCCUGUCCAGAUGGGAGUGGUCCAGUCGCCUGUAAGAGUUUCCCAAAAGCCACCUCGAACUUCUCCCCAUGCCCUCCCUCCCUCCCCUCUCUCUCCCCUUUUGGUUGGUGGCUUUCUCCUGGGGCACCCUCUCUGCGGUGGUGCUGCCGGCAGUUCGCUGGUGCCCAGGCCUUUUGCUGACCUGCCUGCCAGAGUCCCUGUCCCCUUAGCACCCAGAUGGCCUGGCCCCCAGCCCUGGUUCCCCAGUGCCUCUCCUCCUUCCAGGAGGUGCCUCUGGAAGCCGUGAAGUCCGUCCGGGAGCCAAGACUGACGGCCCUUUGGGGUGAGGUAGUAGGUUGUAUAGUUUGGGGCUCUGCCCUGCUAUGGGGUAACUAUACAAUCUACUGUCUUUCCUGAAGUGGCCGUAAUAUCAACGGUGGACAGCAUCCAGAACCCUGGCUGGGAGGGUCAUGGGUGGCAAGCUGGGGGUGGGGAGCAACCCUGCGGGGUGGGUGGCAGUGGCUGCCAUGCAGUAAGAAGACUGACAGGCCUAGGGUUCACUUGCUGUGUGAUCUUGGGCAGGUCCCUUAAUCUCUCUGGGCUUCAGUUUUCUCAUCUGUGAAAUGGGGGCAAGUGAGGAUUAAAGGAGAUAGUGUGUCAAGUGUCUAGGGUGGGGGGCUCGGAAUUGGCCCUUACUUCUCUACCCACUGUGCUGAGACCCAGUAGAUGCAUGGGACAGUUUGUGCAGCCUGCUCCCCUAUCCUGUGGGUGGCCCCAAGCACGUGUCUGGACUGUGCCCUCAGCUGUGUCCCUGUGGCCAGCGCUGGGCACCAGGAGGAAUUGCUGUGGGCUUGGCUGAGGUUGCAGGGCAGGGAGACCCACGGGUCUGCCUUCAUCAGUGCGUCCCCCAGACGAUGCUCCAGCCUGUCCAGCUCAGCGUCAGGCCUGGGGAGGGUGGGAGCCGGGGCCAUCCCUCCUUGUGGCUCAGCUCUCCCGAGCAGGAAGCGGGAGGGGCGUUGUCCCAGCCCAGCGAGCGCCCUCGGCCCCUCCGGCUCAGGCCCACCCUGCCCUCCAGCAGCCUGCAGGUGGACGGUAUGGGCUGCACUGCGUGGGGAAACCGAGGCACCAUCUGCAUUUUCGCUCCUGCCCUGCGCCUGCCCAGCCCUCCAGCUCAGCUCUGGUGGCUGCGGACCACCGGGCAGGGCUGGGCUGGGCGUGGGGCAGCGGCGGGCCACGGACCCUCCCGCCCCUGGGCGCCGGCGGGGUGAGGUAGUAGGUUGUGUGGUUUCAGGGCAGUGAUGUUGCCCCCUCGGAAGAUAACUAUACAACCUACUGCCUUCCCCGAGGAGCCCCGCGACACGUGCCCGCGGGAGGGCCCACCCCACGCGCCACGCUCCAGGGGGAUGCCGGGGCUCUGGCCGGGCAGUGGGAGGCCACAGUGUGCACACCUGACUGUAAUAAAAGCUGAUGUGAAACUGGAAUCUGGCCCCUUCUUCCUUCUGGAAGCCCAUGGGCUGGACGGCGGAGAGUGUGUGCGUGUUGGUGGUGCCAUGGGGGGCAUGUGUGUGGCCUGACUGAGGAGCUGCCACCUGGACCCUUGGGGUCACCAGGCCUCCCGUCUGCACCCCCGGCCCGCCCAUUCCAGCAGCCCUCAGACCCCUCCGAUGGGUUCAGUCCUAGACCCAGACCCAGCCCAUCCUCUACCCCACUCAUACCCCCUCCGAGGGCGGGGCUGUGGGACCCCGGCCCCAGAGGUGUUACUUGGCCCCCAGCCUGGUGGAGAAGCCCACCGGACAGCUGCCUUGUGGGUGGUACAGACCCCACAGGAGCUCCGAGCGCAGUCCGGGGCCUGGCCCCCUCGGCCCCCUCAGUACCUGGGGCUUGACUGGAGCCCGGAAGUUCCCGUCGUCCCAUACCCAGCUCCCCCAGGACAUUUCCAGGGUCGCCCUUGUUUCAGGUGUCCGUCCUUGGGCCGUGUGCCAUUGCAAGCAUUCAUUGUGUUUCUGCCUGAGGCCUUGGCUCUUGUGUUGGUGGCGGCCGCAGGCCUGUCCCUGUGAUCCCAGCCUGAGUGUUAGAAGGGGCCUGUCCGUGCCUGACCCAGUGCUGAGAGCACCCCUCCGGGGGCAACACCCUCCCCUGUACCCACGAUGCCCGGCACAGACCCCAGUAAGGCACCACCUUCCUAGCCAGAGCCAGCCCCUCAAGUCACCCCACAACCCCCUAGGAAAGACAGUUCCAGGCUGGCCCUUGCAACAGUGUGCACAGAACCGAACUCCACCGCACCCCCAAAUGCUGCUGCCUGACAACAGAGCUGACAGGACAGAAACAGUCCUCAGUUAGUGAUCUAGGACAGGGACCCUGUGACAGGGACCAGAAGAGGCUCUUGACCCAGCCAGGGGUCCGCAGAGGCCCCAUGUGGAGGGGCCAGCUGAGCUGAGCACCUCUUGGCCAUGCACACAGCAGCCUGGGGUCCUGGCGGGACCCAGUGCCCUCAGCCCUCCCACCUUGGUGAUUGUCUCCAAGCUGCAUCUUGGCCCCAAGCUCCAUCCUGAGUCUCCUGGUCUCCUACUUGGUCUUUGAAGGUCCCCCCAGACCCACAUGACCAUGCCUGGGCAGACCAGCAAGUGCCUGUCUUCACCCUGGGCCUAUUGCCCUCAAGGGGCUGCGGGAGCCCAGAUCAGGGACCCCAAGAGGCAGGGCUUCCUAAACAGGAGCUAUCUGAGCUGGGUCUUGAUGGUUGUGCAGGAGUUUGCAGCUGGAGACAGAGUGAGGAGCUCCUUUGCCCUCUGGGGCCGGGGCCAUGGCACACUCUGGCACCAUCCACCUCCCCGACUACCCCAUACCCAGUCAGUGGCAGAGUCCGGCCUCCUGUGUCUCCUGAGCAUCUUUUCCGUCCCUCUCUCCAUCCGCACUCUCACCACCAGGCCUCAGAGCCUCUCUGAGCAGCCCCUCUGCAUUCUUGCAG